Molecule: ribosomal RNA, 460 nt
Filed under: uncultured bacterium
Lineage: Bacteria
Description: partial 16S ribosomal RNA
Rfam family: Bacterial small subunit ribosomal RNA
Source: RNAcentral
CCUACGGGAUGCAGCAGUGAGGAAUAUUGGUCAAUGGGCGGGAGCCUGAACCAGCCAAGUCGCGUGAGGGAAGACGGUCCUAUGGAUUGUAAACCUCUUUAGGCGGGGAGCAAUGCCGGGCACGCGUGCCCGGAGGGAGAGUACCCGCAGAAUAAGCAUCGGCUAACUCCGUGCCAGCAGCCGCGGUAAUACGGAGGAUGCGAGCGUUAUCCGGAUUAAUUGGGUUUAAAGGGUGCGUAGGCGGAUUUUUAAGUCAGCGGUAAAAUGUCCGGGCUCAACCCCGGCCGGCCGUUGAAACUGGUUUUCUAGAGUUGGAGAGAAGUAUGCGGAAUGCGUGGUGUAGCGGUGAAAUGCAUAGAUAUCACGAAGAACUCCGAUUGCGAAGGCAGCAUACCGGCUCCAUACUGACGCUGAGGCACGAAAGCGUGGGGAUCGAACAGGAUUAGAUACCCGGGUAGUC